Molecule: non-coding RNA, 243 nt
Organism: Paramuricea clavata
Lineage: Eukaryota; Metazoa; Cnidaria; Anthozoa; Malacalcyonacea; Plexauridae
Source: the annotation of a GenBank genome assembly
GGCCUUCGCUCGAAACGUCGAGGUUCUCCUUGUUUUGUUUUUUUCAGGUAGUUUUAUCCCAUCAGUCCGAAGCUUUCUCAUUAUAUUGGUCGGUCCGAGUACUAUUUAUCACUUUGCCUUGCCCAAAGAAGUGUCUAAUUUUACUGUUAUAACUAAAUCCGUAAAAGGAUAAAUAACCAAUUUCGACUCAUUUAAACCAGGAAAGCCGAAAGGAAAAUUGUAUAUCGACGCAUUGAAUACUAU